Long non-coding RNA from Sapajus apella (tufted capuchin), 514 nucleotides. RefSeq lists it as uncharacterized. Lineage: Eukaryota; Metazoa; Chordata; Mammalia; Primates; Cebidae. The record is from RefSeq and is a predicted model, not a curated record. The transcript has 3 exons.
UGUUAGCAAAGAUGCAGAGAAAAAGGGAACUUUUAUACACUGUUGGUGGGAAUGUAAAUUAGUACAGCCAGUAUAGAGAACUGUAUGGAGGUUUUUCAAAAAACUAAAAAUAGAACUACCAUAUGAUCCAGCAUUCCCGCUACUGGUUAUUUAUCCAAUAGUAGAGAAAUCAGUAUAUCCAAGGGCUGCCUGCACUUGCAUGUUCAUCGCAGUGCUGUUCACAGUAGCAAAGAUGGAGAAUCAGUCUAAGUGUCCAUCAACAGGUAAAUGGAUGAAGAAAAUGUGCUGUGUGUACACAACGGAAUACUAUUCAGCCAUAAAAAAGAAUGAAAUCAUGUCAUUUGCAGCAACGUGGGAGGAACUAGAGGCCAUUAUCUUAAGUGAAAUAAGCCAAGUACAGAAAGACAAAUAUCAUGUGUUGUCACUUAUAUGUGGGUGCCAAAAAUUUGAUGUCAUAGACAUGGAGAAUAGAAAGACAGGAGAGACCGGAAAGGAAGUUAGGUGUGGGGAGAAA